AGCUCUGUGCAGUGGAAAUGUCAUAGCCAAUGAGGUUUAACUGAAGCAUGAGUAUUGUUAAUUGAAAACUUUUCAUCAUUUUAAAUUAUGCAUUUGUUCUAAUUUACAUAGACCCAUGCAGACUUUGGG
RNAcentral lists this small nuclear RNA (129 nucleotides) under Octodon degus (degu). RNAcentral's name for it is "U4 spliceosomal RNA (ENSODEG00000022866.1)". The stretch from base 1 to 112 matches the Rfam family "U4 spliceosomal RNA". Rfam says of the family: U4 small nuclear RNA (U4 snRNA) is a component of the major U2-dependent spliceosome. The record is from Rfam by way of RNAcentral. Lineage: Eukaryota; Metazoa; Chordata; Mammalia; Rodentia; Octodontidae.